Danio rerio (zebrafish) is the source of this 496-nucleotide non-coding RNA. Lineage: Eukaryota; Metazoa; Chordata; Actinopteri; Cypriniformes; Danionidae. The record is from Ensembl.
AGGAAAGAUGUAAUCCUCAAUGUCCACCACCAUUUGAACACUUGGCCGAAGCAAGAGACUGGACCACUGAAGUUAGAUGGUUAAUCUUUAUGUCCAGCUCAUUAAGCUUCUCCAAUAUUGCCCUCUGCACAGCUCAACACACUCAAUGUGUGGUCCCCAAAGCAUCCUCUUGCUCAUUUCCAUCAGACAUGCUCACUGGAAAAGCUGGUGUUGAGAAAGGUCAAGUUGCCAAAUGAAAUGCUGAAGUAUUUACCUGAAGUGAGACAAACAACUUAUGUGGUGCUCUGUCUCGUUUGAAAUGCCUGAGCAUAGAAAACGUGUCCUCUGUUGGGUUGUACAGAAAAUGUUGAAGUAGUGUUGAGGUUUAUCCCAAGUGUCCUGUGGCUCCACUUCCUGGCAGAACCUCACAGAUAUUUCAGAUUCAGAGAUAUUGGAAGUGUACCAAGAUUGUAUCCAUUUUUGGUAAAUCUUGUCAAAAGAUGCUGAAAGAAACAAA